GUCCAUAAGAAGAUUGGUAAGCCAUAAAAUGCUCCAGUAAUUUUUUUUUAAGUGGCUCUCGAGAAAUGGGACGUGGGGCUUCGAUCAAAGAUGGAAAAAAGCCUUUCUUUAUUUUACAGGAUGGUGUUUAGCGGCACAGUGGCACAUGGAGUGGUCCAUAGAAAAUUAAAUGGGAUUUGAAGGGCCAUUCAGUGGAUGGGGUGCACAGCUGAAACUAAGUAGUUUUGUGC
Molecule: long non-coding RNA, 230 nt
Filed under: Elaeis guineensis (African oil palm)
Lineage: Eukaryota; Viridiplantae; Streptophyta; Magnoliopsida; Arecales; Arecaceae
Description: long non-coding RNA (EGUI_LNC070590)
Source: RNAcentral